Molecule: ribosomal RNA, 253 nt
Filed under: uncultured bacterium
Lineage: Bacteria
Description: partial 16S ribosomal RNA
Rfam family: Bacterial small subunit ribosomal RNA
Source: RNAcentral
UACGGAAUGUGCAAACGUUAUUCGGAAUCACUGGGCUUAAAGAGUCCGUAGGCGGCUUGUUAGGUGAGGUGUGAAAUCCCUCGGCCCAACCGAGGAAUUGCGCUUCAAACCGGCAAGCUAGAGGAGGAUAGAGGUGGGCGGAACUGAUGGUGGAGCGGUGAAAUGCGUUGAUAUUAUCAGGAACACCAGAGGCGAAGGCGGCUCACUGGGUCUCUUCUGACGCUGAGGAACGAAAGCUAGGGGAGCAAACGGG